This 253-nucleotide ribosomal RNA is filed under the name uncultured bacterium. RNAcentral's name for it is "partial 16S ribosomal RNA". It matches the Rfam family "Bacterial small subunit ribosomal RNA", at positions 524 to 776 of the family's 1533-position model. The record is from RNAcentral.
UACGAAGGUGGCGAGCGUUGUUCGGAAUCACUGGGCAUAAAGGGCCCGUAGGCGGCGAUUUAAGUCGGUUGUGAAAGACCUCGGCUUACCCGGGGGAACGCAACCGAAACUGGAUUGCUGGAGCACGGCAGGGGAGGGUGGAAUUCCAGGUGGAGCGGUGAAAUGCGUAGAUAUCUGGAGGAACACCGGUGGCGAAAGCGACCCUCUGGGCCGUAGCUGACGCUGAGGGGCGAAAGCUAGGGGAGCAAACAGG